AAAGAAAUCGUCUUACCUUCAUCACUUCCCGAUCCACCUCACGUCGUCAAACGCCGCAAAUUGACUUGGCACGAGCGCUUUCUCGUGAGAUUCCUUCCUAUAUUCCUUUGAUUACUCUCUUAUCUGAGCAAAAAGAUUAUUCACAAGAUGCUAACCAGUGAAUGAAAUGUUUUAUUUUAUUUUUGUAAAUUAGGUGUUGAAGGAAGCUUCAAGGCUUUACGGUGCAAGCUGGGUACGAGACAUAGGUCCCGAGCUUCGUCCAAACGAUUACAAGAAGCAAGGCGAUGCUGAGCCCAAGAAACAAGCCAAAGAGACUGAGAAAGAGCCCUCUGUUUUCGAAGAUCUUGGUAAGCCC
RNAcentral lists this long non-coding RNA (355 nucleotides) under Brassica rapa (field mustard). RNAcentral describes it as "long non-coding RNA (BRAP_LNC001686)". The record is from RNAcentral. Lineage: Eukaryota; Viridiplantae; Streptophyta; Magnoliopsida; Brassicales; Brassicaceae.